GACGAACGCUGGCGGCGUGCUUAACACAUGCAAGUCGAGCGGUAAGGCCCUUUCGGGGGUACACGAGCGGCGAACGGGUGAGUAACGCGUGGGUGACCUGCCCUUAGCUCUGGGAUAAGCCUGGGAAACUGGGUCUAAUACCGGAUAUGACUCCAUAACGCAUGUUGUGGGGUGGAAAGCCUUGUGCGGCUAGGGAUGGGCCCGCGGCCUAUUAGCUUGUUGGUGGGGUGAUGGCCUACCAAGGCGACGACGGGUAGCCGGCCUGAGAGGGCGACCGGCCACACUGGGACUGGGACACGGCCCAGACUCCUACGGGAGGCAGCAGUGGGGAAUCUUGCGCAAUGGCGAAAGCCUGACGCAGCGACGCCGCGUGGGGA
RNAcentral lists this ribosomal RNA (377 nucleotides) under uncultured bacterium. Its description in RNAcentral is "bacterial SSU rRNA". It matches the Rfam family "Bacterial small subunit ribosomal RNA", at positions 28 to 407 of the family's 1533-position model. The record is from RNAcentral.